This 1097-nucleotide long non-coding RNA is filed under the name Toxoplasma gondii VEG. Lineage: Eukaryota; Apicomplexa; Conoidasida; Eucoccidiorida; Sarcocystidae. The record is from RNAcentral.
GAAGCUGCGAGCUAGCCAAUGCGGACGUGCCUCCGUUGUCAUGUGGAAAUUUGUGGAUGACUUGACUUUGUCCUUCACGCUAUUCAAGGGCGACCCCGCGCGAGAAUGCAAUUUGCUUACCCGAAGAUUGUAAGGGGAAGCUUGGGAUACUAGAACGAAGCCUCAUCAUGGAUAAAUUUAGAAUAUAUUUUCUGGUAUCCAGAGAACAUGAGUAGAUGCUGAUAUAGUGUACUAUCUUCAGAGUGCCUUCAGCUGUCGCACUUUGCUUCUGUAAGUGGGUCGCAGCAGCAGUUUGCAUUUUGCACCUUACACCCCUUUUUCCCCUCGCGGGCGUUAAGGCUGUAAGUGUUGUUUGUCGCUUGCCGGCACACAUAUGAAGUUCUUUGUGACUUAGGCUGGCCUGACUGUUCUCCUUCGUAUUUCUGUAUAUCAAUACGAGCUUGCGACGGUGAAUGCUGCGAGCUUACAUUUCUUUCAGCUGGUAUGGCGGCGCUGAAACAUGUCUUUUCAGCAAGGCUUUGCACAACGCGUUCCAGACGGUGAUGUAGCUGCAUUCAAAAACGAGAUGUCUGCUUUUUUGUCGCCACAUGGUUUCUCUUGACACGUUUGUGUACUCUACUCCAUGAAAGCUCAUACACUCCUUCGGAACAUAUCUCGGUGUUACUUAAUCAUCUUUCACUCCUAAUGUUUUUUUCUCAUCUUUUUCGGAAGCUACAUAGAACAUGGCUUGUUAUCACCGACGGCGCUAAUCGAUUUCGUAUACGACACGGUUCGGUGCAACAGAACGAGUUGCUGCGUUUUCCAUUAGUUAUUCGUCACGAUUUCUCAACAGAACACCUGAUGCGUUUACUGUCCGCCUCUUUAGGCAGUGCGUAACCAGCCUCUGUCCCCUGAACCACAAACGGACACGUAUUGGCAUUUGAUUGCAACAUUUUGUCGAUGAAAAAUCAUGAUUGGGAAUGUUGACUGCAUGCCACAAGAAGCAGCAAUGCUGAGUUACCGGUGGGAGGAAUAGCUUAGGUAGUAUUGUCGGCAUAAAUGACGGAUGGAUAACACACAAAAGUAUAGUCCUGGACAUUUUAGCUUGCAAGACGCCU